UGAGCAACCUGCCCUCAGCUUUGGGAUAACCCUACGGAAACGGGGGCUAAUACCGGAUAUUCACUGCUUCGCGCAUGUGGGGUGGUGGAAAGUUUUUCGGCUGGGGAUGGGCUCGCGGCCUAUCAGCUUGUUGGUGGGGUGAUGGCCUACCAAGGCGACGACGGGUAGCCGGCCUGGAGNGGCGCCG
RNAcentral lists this ribosomal RNA (187 nucleotides) under uncultured bacterium. Its description in RNAcentral is "partial 16S ribosomal RNA". It matches the Rfam family "Bacterial small subunit ribosomal RNA", at positions 118 to 306 of the family's 1533-position model. The record is from RNAcentral.